UUGUUGGCAUCCACAAUAGUGUCUGGGUUUGGUGGCUGUUUAUGGGAUGGAUCGCCAGGUGGGGUAUCUCUCGAUGGUCAUUCCUUCAGUCUCUGCUCCGAACUUUGUCUCUGUAACCCCUUCAGAUGGAAAGGUAAUUCCUUUAGGCUAUAGUUUGGUGAUUGUUUUGCUUUUUCCUUUUUUCCCCAGUUCUGGGAAUUGAAUGUGGGGCUUCAUGUAUACAAGAAAACCUUUAAGCAUUCUACCACUAAACUAUAUCCACACUUCUGCUCAAUAUCAUCUUUUUUUCAGCUUUACAUAUUGGGGUUGGAGAAAGGUUUCUGUCCCCAGCACCCACUCACAUGGUAGCUCAUAACUAGAACUCCAGUUCCAGAGGACCAGAUGCUCCUCUCACCUCUGUGGGCACCAGGCAUAUGGUGCACACUUAUAUGCAACCAAAGCAUUCAUAAUCCCAGCACUCAGAAGGCAGAGGCAGGCUGCUUUCUGGGAGUUUGAGGCCAGCAUGGUCUACAGAGCUAGUUCCAGGACAGCCAGGGCUACACAGAGAAAUUCUGUCUUGAGGGAAACCAAAGAUAAAAUAAGUAAAUAUAUAUGUAUGAAUGUUUUGCCUGCAUCUGUGUCUGUGGAACAUGCACAUGACUGGUGCCCAUGGAAUCCAGAAAAGAACAUUGGAUCCUUUGGAACUGGAGUUGUAGAUGGUUGUGAUCUACUAUGUGGGUUCUGGGACUUGAACUUGGGUCCUCUGGAAGAAUAACCAGUUUUCCUAACUGCUGAGCCAUCUCUCUAGUCCCUUGUUCUAUUUUUGAGACAGGGUCUUCUGUUACUCAGGCUGGCAUUGAAAUUGCUAUGUAGCUGAAGUUGCUUGGCACUCCUGUGGUUUACCUCCCUAGUGCUGGGAUUACAGCACACAUGCUUUUAAAGAUAGAACAGUGAUGCUUUUAUAACUAGUUUUGAACCAUUUUGUAGAGAUAGACCCUAACUUUAUCACUGAGAUAGGUCCUCAGCCUUUUUGUAUGUUAAUUUUAACUUUAUUUUCUUGUAAUGUUAGCUUGAAAUUUUUCCAAGUGUAUUUAAUACUAAAUUCAAUUUCAACAUAUUGUAUAUACAUAUAUGAUAAUUUCUUAAAAAUAUUACACUUUUACACACACACUGGUUCUUGGCAUCCCAAGGCCAGAAGGUGGUAUUAGUUCUCCUAGAAUUGGAGUUAUAGAAUGUUGUGAGUCACCAUGUAGUUGCUGAGACUCAAACUCUGUCCUCUGAAGAGCAGCAAGUACUCUUAACAGCUGAGCCAUCUGUCUAGCUCCUCAGAUUCUUUCAUUUUCAGAUUGGUAUGUAUGAUAUCCCCCUUUCUUAGAUUUCUAGGCCCCCCCCCCCUUUUAAAGCAAGACGAAUUUUCAUUUACCGGUGUGUCUACUGGUUUGUAGCUAAUUUUCUUUUUGUUUAUUUAUUUAUUAAUUAAUUAUACAUAAGUACUCUGUAGUUGUCUUCAGACACACCAGAAGAGGGCAUCAGAUCUCAUUGCAGGUGAUUGUGAGCCACCAUGUGGUUGCUGGGAUUUGAACUCAGGACCUCUGGAAGAGCAGUCAGUGCUCGUAACCACUGAGCCAUCUCUCCAGCCCUGUAGCUAAUUUUCAAACUUUGUGGCAGUUACACUCUUGCUGCAAAGAACUUAUGUUUUAAAUAAGUAUUUUUUAAAUACCCCCUUAUUUAAAAAAAGUCCCAUGUCCUAAAGAGAUAGUAUUAAAGAAGGUAAGGAACAUUAAUCCUUGAGAAUUUCUCUUCUAUGUCACAGGAGAGAAAACAUAGGGAAUAUUAACAACGCUGUAAUAUUUUCACCUGUUUCUUCCUAUUUCCACCACUCAUUCAGGCCAAAAGGUAUUCUUUUAACCCUGGCAGGAGAAUUGAGGAAGUGGUAGUGUAGCCAUGGCUUGUGGAGAAAUGAAACUAUGCACUGAUAUGUUUAAAAAGCAAACUUGUCAGUAACAUGGAUUUUUUUUCCUCAGUGGAAUAUGUGUACUUUCCUGAGUUUAGAUUAUCAAUGCAUAAAGUGUUGCCAUUCAUUGGAAAAUAUUGAGUUGACUCUUAAGGUUUUGGUGUUCUAAAUGUCCUCGAAAAAUUACAGUGGAAUCUUUUAGGUAAGGUAGGAUUUUAUUAGGUAGUUUUCUUUUAUAGGUACUGACUUCCUAAUCCUUUGAAGUUAGUCUGAAGUAAUUUACAAAGUACUAUAGAAAAAUGGCAGAUCUACUGAGGUAAUUAUGUACUGGUAAAUAUGACAUGUAUAAAUCUUCAAUGUUGGUAGGUUUUUAAGUUUCUUAGAAUUAGAUUGUUGCCUUUCUCACAUGAGCUAUGUUUUUAUCUGGUUUUGAAUACUUGUUUUAUUGCACAGGGUAUAUUAUACAGCUUCUCAAAUGGUAAUUAAAAUCUUAGGGAUAGAAAUGUAGUCCUCAGAUCUUGUUAUUCAUGUUCAAGAGACAUAGUGAAUUACCAGUUUCUUCUAAGCUGCCUUUGCAUUAAUGGAUUUUUUUAUCUGACAAGAUACCACUGGUAGCAUUAUCUUAGUACAUGGGAGUAUAUAGUAGGCUCCUUAACAUUGAUUUUUUUUUUCUUUUUUGCUUCUUACAAUAGCAUGUAAAGUAGUUGAUGGGUUUUUCACUUACUGAAAUUCAGAAUGGUUACAAGAUUUGCCCAAGAUCACUCAGCUAAUAAAUAAGUGCUUACUUUUGAGUUCAAUUUUGCCUAAUUUCAGAUCCUUUCUUCCCAUGGUGAUACACUGCCUCCCAGUGGGAUGAUUUAUAGAUUUCAUGGUGAUGCCUUCCUUGGGAAAAGAUACUAAAAGAGACAAGGAUCCUAAACAGAGGACAGUUAAAUGCCUCUAAGUCGACUCUAGACAACUUAAGAGGUUUAGAAAUGGAGAAAGGCUUAUUUUCUCCAGGGAGCUGGUGAGGAUAAAUUAAUUACUUUCUGCCUAAAGUUGCACAUAUAUUAAUAUUUUGCACGAAGACCAUUGGCAUCUAAACAAGAGUUGAGAAUAGAGGUGAUAGUAAAGUUUAUGUUAUACUAUUUUAGUCUUUAGUAAAAUUAUAGUUGAAUUUUAAGGAACUAACAUUUUUAUAACAUAAGCUGAAACAGAAAGUUGUCGCCACACGUGGCUCACUAAAUACCAGUGGAUUUUGGCUAACAUACAAAGCAGUGGCUUUUAUCAUGACGUCUUCAUGUACUUGCCAUUGUCCUCCAGUCUCAUUCCCCCCUCUGCUGCUGCUCUCUGGCUGCGACAUGCCCUAACUCAGACUGCUUCCUCGG
Molecule: long non-coding RNA, 3300 nt
Filed under: Mus musculus (house mouse)
Lineage: Eukaryota; Metazoa; Chordata; Mammalia; Rodentia; Muridae
Description: long non-coding RNA chrX:42163748-42167048
Source: RNAcentral